RNAcentral lists this ribosomal RNA (720 nucleotides) under uncultured bacterium. RNAcentral describes it as "bacterial SSU rRNA". It matches the Rfam family "Bacterial small subunit ribosomal RNA", at positions 81 to 783 of the family's 1533-position model. The record is from RNAcentral.
GGGGCCGAAGUAGAGUGGCGCACGGGUGAGUAACACGUGGAUAAUUUGCCUUCGGGUGGGGAAUAACAACCGGAAACGGUUGCUAAUACCGCAUAAUGCAGCGGCAUCUAUGAUGACAGUUGUUAAAGCGGGGGAUCGUAAGACCUCGCGCCUGAAGAGAAGUCCGCGGCAGAUUAGCUAGUUGGUAGGGUAAUGGCCUACCAAGGCGACGAUCUGUAGCCGGCCUGAGAGGGCGGUCGGCCACACUGACACUGACAUACGGGUCAGACUCCUACGGGAGGCAGCAGUCGGGAAUUUUGGGCAAUGGGCGAAAGCCUGACCCAGCAACGCCGCGUGAAGGAUGAAGUUUUUCGGAAUGUAAACUUCACAAGAAUGGGAAGAAUAAGUUUUGGCUAACAUCCAGGACGAUGACGGUACCAUUUGUAAGCUCCGGCUAACUCCGUGCCAGCAGCCGCGGUAAUACGGGGGGAGCAAGCGUUGUUCGGAUUUACUGGGCGUAAAGGGCGCGUAGGCGGCGCCGCAAGUCACUUGUGAAAUCUCCGGGCUCAACUCGGAACGGCCAAGUGAUACUGCGGUGCUAGAGUGCGGAAGGGGCAACUGGAAUUCUUGGUGUAGCGGUGAAAUGCGUAGAUAUCAAGAGGAACACCUGCGGCGAAGGCGGGUUGCUGGGCCGACACUGACGCUGAGGCGCGAAAGCUAGGGGAGCGAACGGGAUUAGAU